RNAcentral lists this small RNA (44 nucleotides) under Arabidopsis thaliana (thale cress). The record is from RNAcentral. Lineage: Eukaryota; Viridiplantae; Streptophyta; Magnoliopsida; Brassicales; Brassicaceae.
UAGCUCUGGCACAAGUUCCUCAUCCUUAGUUGUUUGAUGAGCCU